Molecule: small RNA, 804 nt
Filed under: Arabidopsis thaliana (thale cress)
Lineage: Eukaryota; Viridiplantae; Streptophyta; Magnoliopsida; Brassicales; Brassicaceae
Description: ATSL178560
Source: RNAcentral
AAAAGUAAACAAUAAGAAAAUAAUAAGCAAACAAUAAGUUAUGUACUUCACUAAUUCUCUAAUGCGUUAAAUUUUCUAAUUCUCUCGAGGAUAAAAAGUUUUAUUAACUCUCUUCAACUUCAAUAUAUAUUUAUGUUUCUCUAGAGGAAUCUCGUCUAGAAUCUCAAGAAACUCAUAUAUGUUUCUACUUCAUUUGUACCGUAGGGAGACUGGAUUUGUAAAUUGUUGUGUGCAGUUCCCUUCAAUUUCAGAUUGGACUUGAAAUUUGAAGGUGUAAUGGAGAGAAAACCUUGUAGUCCAGAAACUCAACCUCUAUAUACCAAUCAAAAUAUAUAUAUUUUUAUUUUAUUUUUGAAUUCCAUGAGGUUCUGGGCCGAAUUCCGUAAUCCUCUCAGGCCCGAAACCACAACAUGUAAUAUUAGUUUCGUCUCAAGCGUCACUCGAAUCGGCGACCUCUAAGCUUCGCCUAGGAUCUUUACCAAUUGAGCUAACGACAGUUGGUAAGCAAUCAAAAUAUAUCUACAAGUUACAUAACACGAUAAUGGUAAUUACUGUUCAAACGGCUCUUAAGACAAUCAUGGAAGAAAAUUCUGGAAUGUCCUCACCUCGACAAUUGUAACCUCAUCGCAAGCAUUGCUAUGAGAAUCCCGGAGAUUAUAAGAGAAGAUUCUACAAUGCCAUAACGCUUCACAUCUUCUGUUUUAGUGAACACAUAUUAUUCUCUAAUUUUCCAUCAAAAGCAUGUUUUUCUACCACAAACGUCACUAAUUGCAUUUCUUAGGUGAUUACGCAUUUUCCGUUAGA